This 269-nucleotide ribosomal RNA is filed under the name uncultured Lachnospiraceae bacterium. Its description in RNAcentral is "partial 16S ribosomal RNA". It matches the Rfam family "Bacterial small subunit ribosomal RNA", at positions 71 to 339 of the family's 1533-position model. The record is from RNAcentral. Lineage: Bacteria; Bacillati; Bacillota; Clostridia; Lachnospirales; Lachnospiraceae.
AGAGAGAGCUUGCUUUCUCGAGCGAGUGGCGAACGGGUGAGUAACGCGUGAGGAACCUGUCUCAAAGAGGGGGACAACAGUUGGAAACGGCUGCUAAUACCGCAUAAGCGCACAGUACCGCAUGGUACAGUGUGAAAAACUCCGGUGGUGUGAGAUGGACCCGCGUCUGAUUAGCUAGUUGGCAGGGCAACGGCCUACCAAGGCGACGAUCAGUAGCCGACCUGAGAGGGUGACCGGCCACAUUGGGACUGAGACACGGCCCAAACUCC